Molecule: microRNA precursor, 208 nt
Filed under: Oryza nivara
Lineage: Eukaryota; Viridiplantae; Streptophyta; Magnoliopsida; Poales; Poaceae
Description: MIR812 microRNA precursor family
Rfam family: MIR812 microRNA precursor family
Source: Rfam by way of RNAcentral
AAUAAGUAUAAUCAUGGAUAUCCAUGCCCAACAUUUGACCGUCCGUUUUAUUUGAAAAAUUUAUGGAAAAUUUAAAAAUAUUUAGUUACACAUAAAAUAUUAUUCAUGUUUUAUCAUUUAAUAGCAAUAAAAAUACUAAUCAUAAAAAAAUUUCAAAUAAGACGAACGGUCAAACAUUGAACGUGAAUAGUGCAAAACUACACUUAUU